GAUGAACGCUGGCGGCGUGCCUAAUACAUGCAAGUCGAGCGAACGGACGAGAAGCUUGCUUCUCUGAUGUUAGCGGCGGACGGGUGAGUAACACGUGGAUAACCUACCUAUAAGACUGGGAUAACUUCGGGAAACCGGAGCUAAUACCGGAUAAUAUUUUGAACCGCAUGGUUCAAAAGUGAAAGACGGUCUUGCUGUCACUUAUAGGUGGAUCCGCGCUGCAUUGGCUAGUUGGUAAGGUAACGGCUUACCAAGGCAACGAUGCAUAGCCGACCUGAGAGGGUGAUCGGCCACACUGGAACUGAGACACGGUCCAGACUCCUACGGGAGGCAGCAGUAGGGAAUCUUCCGCAAUGGGCGAAAGCCUGACGGAGCAACGCCGCGUGAGUGAUGAAGGUCUUCGGAUCGUAAAACUCUGUUAUUAGGGAAGAACAUAUGUGUAAGUAACUGUGCACAUCUUGACGGUACCUAAUCAGAAAGCCACGGCUAACUACGUG
RNAcentral lists this ribosomal RNA (497 nucleotides) under uncultured bacterium. RNAcentral's name for it is "partial 16S ribosomal RNA". It matches the Rfam family "Bacterial small subunit ribosomal RNA", at positions 28 to 507 of the family's 1533-position model. The record is from RNAcentral.